RNAcentral lists this ribosomal RNA (411 nucleotides) under Pselliopus zebra. RNAcentral's name for it is "eukaryotic LSU rRNA". It matches the Rfam family "Eukaryotic large subunit ribosomal RNA", at positions 653 to 980 of the family's 3401-position model. The record is from RNAcentral. Lineage: Eukaryota; Metazoa; Arthropoda; Insecta; Hemiptera; Reduviidae.
CUUGAAACACGGACCAAGGAGUUUAUCGUGUACGCAAGUCAUUGGGUGAAUAAAACCCAAAGGCGAAAUGAAAGUAAAGAGUUGAUUUUAUAAAAAGGAAUUUAUUCUUUUUUAUUUUUCUCUUAAGGGAAGAUGAAAAUUUAAUAUUAUAAUAUUUAUAUUAUUUUAUAUAAAUUUUUCGCAUUCCCAGGGCGCUUAUUUCACGCUUUGCGUGUCAAUGCGCACCUAGAGCGUACACGCUGAUACCCGAAAGAUGGUGAACUAUGCCUGGCCAGGACGAAGCCAGGGGAAACCCUGGUGGAGGUCCGCAGCGAUUCUGACGUGCAAAUCGAUCGUCGGAGCUGGGUAUAGGGGCGAAAGACCAAUCGAACCAUCUAGUAGCUGGUUCCCUCUGAAGUUUCCCUCAGGAUA